AACGAACGCUGGCGGCAUGCCUAACACAUGCAAGUCGAACGAGACCUUCGGGUCUAGUGGCGCACGGGUGCGUAACGCGUGGGAACCUGCCCUUAGGUUUGGAAUAACUCCCCGAAAGGGGUGCUAAUACCGGAUAAUGUCUUCGGAUCAAAGAUUUAUCGUCUUUGGAUGGGCCCGCGUUGGAUUAGCUAGUUGGUAGGGUAAAAGCCUACCAAGGCGACGAUCCAUAGCUGGUCUGAGAGGAUGAUCAGCCACACUGGGACUGAGACACGGCCCAGACUCCUACGGGAGGCAGCAGUGGGGAAUAUUGGACAAUGGGCGAAAGCCUGAUCCAGCAAUGCCGCGUGAGUGAUGAAGGCCUUAGGGUUGUAAAGCUCUUUUACCCGGGAUGAUAAUGACAGUACCGGGAGAAUAAGCUCCGGCUAACUCCGUG
This 433-nucleotide ribosomal RNA is filed under the name uncultured bacterium. RNAcentral describes it as "partial 16S ribosomal RNA". It matches the Rfam family "Bacterial small subunit ribosomal RNA", at positions 29 to 507 of the family's 1533-position model. The record is from RNAcentral.